This 826-nucleotide long non-coding RNA is filed under the name Numida meleagris (helmeted guineafowl). RNAcentral describes it as "lncRNA (ENSNMEG00000022219.1)". The record is from RNAcentral. Lineage: Eukaryota; Metazoa; Chordata; Aves; Galliformes; Numididae.
AUGAGAUCACUAAGGAUGACCAUUCUGAGACUUGCAAUAUGGUGCCCACACUCUCAAAGAAAAAUACAUCAGCCCUGUAUGAUCCCUGAACUGGGUCCUAUAGAAACCUGGAAGCUCCAAACCUUGCCCCUGCUUGUGCCCAACAUUUAUUCCUGGUCUCAUGAAACCUGGAUCCACAGGUGGUGCUGGUACCAGACCUACGCAAUGCAGCGGCCACCUCAGCUGUGGAUAGUGAGACGGGCAGCCCCAGACAGCAACAAAACUGGCUGGCUGACGAGGAACCCAGUGAGCAGAGCUAUGCUUGGGAGUGCAGUAAAGGGUAACGAAGGAUGCAGCUGCUCCUUUGUUGCUUCCCCUCUGCCUUGCAGGUGGGCAUUCAGGCACAGACGGAACCAGAAAAGGAAAGAUGACCGUUCUCAGCACUGCAAAGUGGUGACCACACUGAAAGACAGGUCAGCCCUAGAGAACGAGAAAACUGGCUGUGUGACGAGCAACCGUGUGUGCAGAGCCAUGCUGGGGUGGGCAGGGGAGGGCUACAGGGCAGCCCUAGGAAGCGACAGAACUGGCUGGCUGAGGAGCAACCCAGUGAGCAGGGCCAUGAUGGUAGGUCCUGGGAGGGCAGGCAGCUCAAAGUUGUCCACAGAGACAGGCAGCUGCACUCCAGUCAUCUUAUCUGAUUGCAAUUUUUUACAGCAUUUAAAACAAAAUAAAUAACCCCCAAAAUCAAGUUUCUGAUUCAUGAAACCUUUUCUACUUCUCUCUUGUGCCAUUCUUAAAUGGGAAUCUUUCAGUGUGUUUUCCUUAUUUUCCUUUUUUUUUGUUGUCC